AGCAGUAGCCGCGGUAAAACGAAGGGGGCUAGCGUUGCUCGGAAUCACUGGGCGUAAAGGGUGCGUAAGCGGGUCUUUAAGUCAGGGGUGAAAUCUUGGAGCUCAACUCCAGAACUGCCUUUGAUACUGAAGAUCUUGAGUUCGGGAGAGGUGAGUGGAACUGCGAGUGUAGAGGUGAAAUUCGUAGAUAUUCGCAAGAACACCAGUGGCGAAGGCGGCUCACUGGCCCGAUACUGACGCUGAGGCACGAAAGCGUGGGGAGCAAACAGGAUUAGAUACCCCCGUAGUCCCUGUCUCUUAUAC
RNAcentral lists this ribosomal RNA (303 nucleotides) under uncultured bacterium. RNAcentral's name for it is "partial 16S ribosomal RNA". It matches the Rfam family "Bacterial small subunit ribosomal RNA", at positions 507 to 807 of the family's 1533-position model. The record is from RNAcentral.